This is a non-coding RNA of Danio rerio (zebrafish), 196 nucleotides long. The record is from Ensembl. Lineage: Eukaryota; Metazoa; Chordata; Actinopteri; Cypriniformes; Danionidae.
CAGCUGUCCCGCCGCUAAGUCAGAAUAAAGAGGCUGGUUAAUGAUGUAUAACGAAUUCACUGAAUGCACCGUGGAGAGACGAAGCUUUCUGCUUCUGAAGUACUGAAGACUCCAAACACCUGAGAGAAAGAAAAAAAGACCUGUUUGUGAAGGCCAGUGGCUGCGCUGGAGUCCAGUAAUGAACAAUUACCCACAU